GAGAGGGUAGCUCAGUGGUGGAGCGCGUGCUUGCCAUGCACAAGGUCCUGGGUGCAAACCCCAGUCCCCCCA
Molecule: transfer RNA, 72 nt
Filed under: Camelus bactrianus (Bactrian camel)
Lineage: Eukaryota; Metazoa; Chordata; Mammalia; Artiodactyla; Camelidae
Also listed under: 2 other names
Rfam family: tRNA
About the family: Transfer RNA (tRNA) molecules are approximately 80 nucleotides in length. Their secondary structure includes four short double-helical elements and three loops (D, anti-codon, and T loops). Further hydrogen bonds mediate the characteristic L-shaped molecular structure. tRNAs have two regions of fundamental functional importance: the anti-codon, which is responsible for specific mRNA codon recognition, and the 3' end, to which the tRNAs corresponding amino acid is attached (by aminoacyl-tRNA synthetases). tRNAs cope with the degeneracy of the genetic code in two manners: having more than one tRNA (with a specific anti-codon) for a particular amino acid; and 'wobble' base-pairing, i.e. permitting non-standard base-pairing at the 3rd anti-codon position.
Source: Rfam by way of RNAcentral